Molecule: ribosomal RNA, 344 nt
Filed under: Extensimonas vulgaris
Lineage: Bacteria; Pseudomonadati; Pseudomonadota; Betaproteobacteria; Burkholderiales; Comamonadaceae
Source: RNAcentral
GCUAACCAGUACUAAUUGCUCGUGCGGCUUGACCCUAUAACUUUGACUGACCAAAGCAAAGUUCCAAUGCAUGCACUCGUAUGUAAGUACCCACUACUCAUACUUGUCGCAGCGUCGCUCGUAGUCACGCCAAAAAACGCAAUCACCAAUUCUCCUCGAUUCGACUUCUAUGAUCUUCGCCGCGCUGUCUCCCCCAACAUAACAACAACCAACAGCUCGGCAUAAGUUUCGCCUGAUGACCAUAGCAAGCUGGUACCACCCCUUCCCAUCCCGAACAGGACCGUGAAACAGCUUCGCGCCGAUGAUAGUGCGGAUCCCCGUGCGAAAGUAGGUCAUCGUCAGGC